Neodiprion virginianus is the source of this 817-nucleotide long non-coding RNA. RefSeq lists it as uncharacterized. The transcript has 3 exons. The record is from RefSeq and is a predicted model, not a curated record. Lineage: Eukaryota; Metazoa; Arthropoda; Insecta; Hymenoptera; Diprionidae.
UUGGGUGGAGAAGCAGAAUUGUUUUUCGAAAAGUGUUCGUACGGAAAAAGAUUCAGAGUAACUGUGAUACAUCACGGUUGCGCUAAUUUUGAUCAAGAUGAGAUCGAUGCUCCGUGUAUGAGACAGUUUUUAACGCGUUGUCCUGAUUUAAAGAUCUAAAAAGGUGAUUGUCGGCGAUUUGUUUUUUUUUUUUGACAGGGAGAGAUAGAAAGAAGCUUCUUAAAACUUCGAGUGUAAUUUAACACACGUUUGAAAGGUACGAGCAAAAAUUCUUAUCAUCCAACUAUCGCGGAACGGCAGCGUUAUUAUCUGACCGAUUAACUGAAAAAUAUAUGUUCAGUGAAAGGCUGACCAUCGAAGGGCCGAGCCGCUUGAAUCAGCAGGAACGAUGACCUGGCCGAAAUCCUCAGUCUCGAAACAACCGCGCAGUAGAGCGGACGUAUGAGAAUCGCGCUCCGCAGAUUUCGAGUACUGGGUUCUCUACCUCCUGGAUCCUGCACUCUGGGUCUGCUUCCUGGUGUCUCUCCAAUUCCAGGACAAGUGCUCCGUAGUUUCUGCGCUCCAAGUCCGCUACCUGGUGAAACUGUACUUCCAGGACGAGCACUUCAUGGUUCCUGCGCUCCAGAUCCGCUGCCUGGUGAAACUCGACUUCAGGACCAAGAGGUGGAGGAAGAGGAGGAGUAUAACCCGAAGUGGUUAUCAGUGGUUAAUGGAGGUGUUAGACAGUGGUUGGAGGUGGUAGGAGGUGGACGAGGAGGAGGACGAGAAAGACCAGGAGAACAAGGUGGAUGAGGAAGACGAGGGAUUUGUACUCGGU